GGGAGGAAGGGGCCUCACUACUACAGAGAGGGAAGGUAAUGUGGUGAGUGAAGCGGGACCUUAUGCUUUCUAUCUUAGAGAUGAAAGAAGAAGCCAGGAGCCAAGCAAUACCGAGAGUUGCUUGAGAGCAGAACAGGAGCCAGCACAUACGAUAACCAGGGGCUGUUACAUAGGAAAUGCAAUCUGCACGGUUACAGAUCACCGCUUCCUGUGUUGCUUCACUGGAUUCCAAUUCUUAUCAUGCAUGGCUGCCUUUAAUAUAUGAGGGAAAUGUGCAGCAGUUAUUAUUGCAAACUGAGUCUUCAUAUAACCAUAAAAAUAGUAUUUCUUUGUAAUUGGCAUGCUUUUUUUCUGGUUGAAAAUGAUUCUGCUAAGUUAAAGUAAGGAUUUUGUUGAGGUUUUCGCUGAAACUUACAAACCCGUCAACCAUGCUGAAGAAAAUACCAAGUUGGAAAACAGGUUUGAGAACUUUUUAACAUACCUAUGUCUGAGUAAAAUUUUCCAAGCACUGUGAAGUACAGAAAUCUUAGACUAUGUUAAAUAAAAAGCUGACUCUAACAGUAGAAACUAAAGAAGAAAUAGGAAGAAGGAACUAGUGGAAUCAAAUAUGAUGCUCAUAACCUACUCUCUGUCUACAGUAGCCUCUACUGUGACACCCGAGGUUUGCAUGCCUGAAGAAAAAUCAAAAAGAAUUUCACACUACAUGGAAAGCAAUUCUGGCUAGCUUUAACUAAAUUCAUUAAAAUCAACCACUAAAGAUAGAAAAUUCCUAUUUUCCCAGUUUUGAAAAAUAUUUGUGUUAAAUGAUUAUAACUGUAGUGGUUAUGAUGGAUGCAUCUGUCUACCUGCAGAUUUGUUUAUACAUUUAGCUUACAAUCGACCUCCACCAGUUUUCACAGUUCACACACAAAAUAUCCAUGAUUUAAUAAAUUUAGUGGAAAA
Molecule: long non-coding RNA, 942 nt
Organism: Felis catus (domestic cat)
Lineage: Eukaryota; Metazoa; Chordata; Mammalia; Carnivora; Felidae
Exons: 3
Source: RefSeq, a predicted model, not a curated record